Molecule: ribosomal RNA, 662 nt
Filed under: uncultured bacterium
Lineage: Bacteria
Description: bacterial SSU rRNA
Rfam family: Bacterial small subunit ribosomal RNA
Source: RNAcentral
GCUAAUACCGAAUGUGCCCUUCGGGGGAAAGAUUUAUCGCCAUUAGAGCGGCCCGCGUCUGAUUAGCUAGUUGGUGAGGUAAAGGCUCACCAAGGCGACGAUCAGUAGCUGGUCUGAGAGGAUGAUCAGCCACAUUGGGACUGAGACACGGCCCAAACUCCUACGGGAGGCAGCAGUGGGGAAUCUUGCGCAAUGGGCGAAAGCCUGACGCAGCCAUGCCGCGUGAAUGAUGAAGGUCUUAGGAUUGUAAAAUUCUUUCAGUAGGGACGAUAAUGACGGUACCUACAGAAGAAGCCCCGGCUAACUUCGUGCCAGCAGCCGCGGUAAUACGAAGGGGGCUAGCGUUGCUCGGAAUUACUGGGCGUAAAGGGAGCGUAGGCGGACAUUUAAGUCAGGGGUGAAAUCCCGGGGCUCAACCUCGGAAUUGCCUUUGAUACUGGGUGUCUUGAGUAUGAGAGAGGUAUGUGGAACUCCGAGUGUAGAGGUGAAAUUCGUAGAUAUUCGGAAGAACACCAGUGGCGAAGGCGACAUACUGGCUCAUUACUGACGCUGAGGCUCGAAAGCGUGGGGAGCAAACAGGAUUAGAUACCCUGGUAGUCCACGCCGUAAACGAUGAUUGCUAGUUGUCGGGAUGCAUGCAUUUCGGUGACGCAGCUAACGCA